AUGAGAACUUCAUUCUUUUCAUUGAGAAACCAUCAAAAAGUUUUCAUUUUUAAAAGAAAAAGCCAACGGUUUUUGAUAAAACCCAAAACGAAAGUUUUUAUACUAAAUCAUAUAAAGCAAAAAAUAAAAAAAGAAUAGUCCCAAUCUUCAUUUGUUCCCUUUUCUUCUCCAUCGUCAGAUACUCUUUCCUUCAUUAGUAUAUCUCCUCCAAUCCCUUCCUCUCGCGCCAAAAUAAAAUAAAAAUAACAUUUCUCUACUUUAUUUCUUUGUUUAAGUCUAGUAUCUUCUUCUUUGUUCUCUCAGUGCUGAUCUAAGGUCAUUCAAGGACAUGGCGGAUGGUAUGGCAAGGGGGCCAACGAGUCCAGCAGAAGGGAGUCAUGAGAGUGGAGAGCAGUGCAGUUCUCACUCAACUGUGAGGGAACAAGACCGUUACCUUCCAAUUGCCAAUAUAAGCAGAAUCAUGAAGAGAGCAUUGCCUACUAAUGGCAAAAUUGCUAAGGAUGCUAAAGAAACUGUUCAAGAAUGUGUUUCUGAGUUCAUCAGCUUCAUCACUAGCGAGGCUAGUGAUAAAUGCCAGAAAGAGAAGAGGAAGACAAUUAAUGGAGAUGAUUUGUUGUGGGCAAUGGCAACAUUAGGCUUUGAAGACUAUAUUGAGCCACUUAAAAUAUAUCUGGCCAGGUACAGAGAGGUAUGUAAAUGGAGCUUUAACUUUUGAUCCAUUUUUUUGAUAUUUCAUAGCAUAGAACCUGUUAGGCUAGAAGAUUUGAAUAGAUGAGAAUUUUUUGUUCUAUUCUUGACAUUUUCAUAUCUGCCUGGUGUUUAAUCUGACUCUUUCUUUUUGACCUUCUUGGGGUUGAUGUUAUUGGAAUGAUCAUGAUGCACAGUUGGAGGUAAUUACACUCUCUUUUUCAUGGCUAAUAUAUAUAUACAUGUAUAUAUAUAUUGUGUAGUUUGUAUACUUUGACAGUGUCUCCUUUAACUGCAAACAUUCCAAUUGACAGGGUGAUGCUAAGGGAUCAAUCAGGGGUGAAGUGCCUCUUAAAAGAGAUGCAGUUCGAGUUCUUGCUGUCCCCAACCCACAGUUUCCUAUCCAAGGAUCAUUGAACUAUAUUAAUUCCCAGGCACAAGGACAUCAUAUGAUCGUCCCCUCCAUGCAAGGCAACGAGUAGCUGAUCCGAGCUUCCUCUACCACUUCCAUAAGUAUUAGGGCUGGUUAUAUUGUUUAAUCCAAACACUUCUAGGAUCUUUAAUGGGGAAUUAAUCUUAAUUAUGCAAAGCUAAAUACUUUGGGGAAUUUUUUUUUUGUUAGCUUGUUCUAAGGUAAUAUGGAGCUGUAUAAGUUGCUGUAAAUUUAGCUAUUUAUAUGAUAAUAUGGUAUAUUGCUUUGCAUUUAGUAUUUAAAUCUUUCAAUGA
This is an RNA transcript of Gossypium arboreum, 1413 nucleotides long. It is a transcript of the gene named nuclear transcription factor Y subunit B-1-like, with no coding region annotated. The transcript has 5 exons. Lineage: Eukaryota; Viridiplantae; Streptophyta; Magnoliopsida; Malvales; Malvaceae. The record is from RefSeq and is a predicted model, not a curated record.